Molecule: transfer RNA, 83 nt
Filed under: Caldibacillus debilis
Lineage: Bacteria; Bacillati; Bacillota; Bacilli; Caryophanales; Bacillaceae
Also listed under: 2 other names
Description: tRNA-Leu
Rfam family: tRNA
About the family: Transfer RNA (tRNA) molecules are approximately 80 nucleotides in length. Their secondary structure includes four short double-helical elements and three loops (D, anti-codon, and T loops).
Source: RNAcentral
GCGGGUGUGGCGGAACUGGCAGACGCACCAGAUUCAGGGUCUGGCGCCGUUGAGGCGUGGGGGUUCGAAUCCCUUCACCCGCA